UACGGAGGGGGCGAGCGUUAUUCGGAAUUAUUGGGCGUAAAGGGCGCGUAGGCGGCCCUGUAAGUCAAAGGUGAAAUCCCUCGGCUCAACUGAGGAACUGCCUUUGAAACUGCAGGGCUUGAGUCCGGGAGGGGGUAGCGGAAUUCCCAGUGUAGCGGUGAAAUGCGUAGAUAUCAGGAGGAACACCGGUGGCGAAGGCGGUUCUCUGGGCAUUACCUGACGCUGAGGAGCGAAAGUGUGGGGAGCGAACAGG
This 253-nucleotide ribosomal RNA is filed under the name uncultured bacterium. Its description in RNAcentral is "partial 16S ribosomal RNA". It matches the Rfam family "Bacterial small subunit ribosomal RNA", at positions 524 to 776 of the family's 1533-position model. The record is from RNAcentral.